Molecule: long non-coding RNA, 8269 nt
Filed under: Aquilegia coerulea
Lineage: Eukaryota; Viridiplantae; Streptophyta; Magnoliopsida; Ranunculales; Ranunculaceae
Description: long non-coding RNA (ACOE_LNC001810)
Rfam family: tRNA (bases 5193-5265)
Source: RNAcentral
AUGGGAAUGUUGGUAGAGAUAUGUCCUUUGGACUAUAAACAAGAAAAGACCCUUGAGAUCAACAGAAGUCCCUCAGUCCCUUGGGCUAUAAACAAUAUGGGAAUUUUGGAAAAGAGAAUACCCUUAAGAUCAACAAAAGUCCCUCAGUCCUUUGGACUAUAAACAAGAUAAAAACGUUGAUCAACCAAAGUCCCUUAGUCUCGUGGACUAUAAACCAGAUGGGAAUGUUGGAAGAGAAAGUCCCUUGGACUAUAAACAAGAAAAGUCUAUUAAUAUCAACGAAAGUCCCUCAAUCCUUUGGACUAUAAAUAAGAUGGAAAUGUUGGAUGAUUAAAUUCCCUUGGACUAUAAACAAGAAAAGUCCUUUAAGAUAAAUGAAAGUUCCUCAGUCAUGUAAUUUGGUUUGUAUGUUAUAAAGACUUGGAAAACAUAUCAUAAUGUGAUAUUAUUUGUUCUUUUAUGUUCAUAAUGUAUGUUACGAUUCUUCAAGCUGGAUUUGGAAUUUUAUGUUCAUGAGGGUUGUGAUUCAAAUCUGUUUAUUGGUUUAAUAAUAAAAAAUAAAAAAAAAUCCCUUGGGAUCUACGAAAAUGUCUGUUAGACCAUGAACAAGAAAAGUCCCUUUAAGAUAAAUAAAAGUCUCUCAACCAUUUGGACUAUAAACAAGAUGGGAAUGUUGGAAGAAAAAAGUCCCUUGAUAUCAACGAUAGUCCCUCAGUCCCUUGGUAUAUAAACAAGAUGGGAAUGUUGGAAGAGAAAAGUCCUUUAGACUAUAAACAAGAAAAGUCCCUUAAGAUCAACAAAAGUCCCUCAGUCCCUUGAACUAAAAACAAGAUGGGAAUGUUGGAAGAGAAAAGUCCCUUGGAUUAUAAACAAGAAAAGUCCUUUAGGAUCAACGAAAGUCCUUCAGUCCCUUGGACUAUAAACAAGAUGGGAAUGUUGGAAGAGAAAAGUCCCUUAAGAUCAACAAAAGUCCGUUAGGAUCUUCGAAAGUUCCUCAGUCCCUUGGACUACAAGAUGGGAAUAUUGGAAGAAAAAUGUCCUUUGGACUAUAAAUAAAAAAAACCCCGUGGGAUCAAAUAAAGUCCCUCAGUCCCUUGGAAUAUAAACAAGAUGGAAAUAUUGGAAGAGAAAAGUCUUAUGGACUAUAAACAAGAAAAGUCCCUUAGGAUCAACAAAAGUCCCUCAAUCCCUUGGACUAUAAACAAGAUGUAAAUAUUGGAAGAGAAAAGUCAUAUGGACUAUAAACAAAAAAAGUCCCUUAAAAUCAAUGAAAGUCCCAGAGUUUCUUGUACUAUAAACAAGAUGGGAAUGUUAGAAGAGAAAGGUCCUUUAGACUAUUAACUAGGAAUGUCCCUUAAGAUUAACGAAAGUCUCUCAGUCCCUUUGACUAUAAACAAGAUGGGAAUUUUGAAAAAGAAAAGUCCUUUGGCCUAUAAACAAGAAAAAUCCCUUAAGAUCCUAUAAACAAGUUGGGAAUUUUGGAAGAAAAAAGUCUCUUAAGAUCAACAAAAGUUCCUUAAGUUCAACGAAAGUCCCACAGUCCAUUGAACUAUAAAUAAAAUGAGAAUGUUGAAAAAGGAAAGUCCCUUAAGAUCAACAAAAGUACCUUAAGAUCAAGGAAAGUCCCUCAGUGCCGCGGACCAUAAACAAGAUGAGCAUGUUGGAAGAAAAAAGUCUUUUAAGAUCUACAAAAGUUCGUUAAGAGCAACGAAAGUCCCUUAGUCCCUUGGAUUAUAAACAAGGUAGGAAUGUUGGAAGAGAAAAAUCCUUUAGACUAUAAACAAAAAAAGUCCCUUAAGAUCAACGAAACUCCCCCUGUCCAUCGGACUAUAAACUAGAUAGGAAUGUUGGAAUAGAAAAGACCCUUAAGAUCAGUAAAAGUUCUUUAAGAUCAACGAAAGUCCCUCAGUCCCUUGAACUAUAAACAAUAUGAGAAUGUUGGAAGAGAAAGUCCUUUGGACUAUAAACAAGAAAAGUCCCUCAGUCUUUUGGAUUAUAAACGAGGUGAGAAUGUUGGAAGAGAAAAAUCCCUUAAGAUGAACAAAAGUUCUUUUAGAUCAACGAAAGUCCCUUAAUCCUUUGGACUAUAAAGAAGAUAAGAAUGUUAGAAAAGAAAAAUCCCUUGGAGUAUAAACAAGAAAAGUAUUUUAAUAUCAACGAAAGUCCCUCAGUCCCUUGGACUAUAAACAAGAUGGGAAUGUGGGAAGAAAAAAGUCCCUCAAGAUCUUCAAAAGUUCCUUAAUAUCAAUGAAAGUCCAUGAGUCCCUUGGACUUUAAAAAGAUGGGAAUGUUGGUAGAGAAAUGUCCUUUGGACUAUAAACAAGAAAAGUCACUUAAAAUCAGUGAAAGUCCCUUAGUCCUUGAACUAUAAACAAUAUGGGAAUUUUGGAAGAGAGAAGACCCUUAAGAUCAACAAAAGUCCCUCAGUCUUUUGGACUAUAAACAAGAUGAGAAUGUUGGAAAAGAAAAGUCCUUUGGACUAUAAAGAAGAAAAGUACCUUAAGAUCAACGAAAGUCCCUCAGUCUUUGGACUAUAACCAAGAUGGGAAUGUUGGAAGAGAAAAGUCCUUUAAGAUCAACCAAAGUUCCUUAAGAUCAACCAAAGUCCAUCAGUCUCGUGGACUAUAAACCAGAUGGGAAUGUUGGAAGAGAAAGUCCGUUGGACUAUACAAAAAAAAGUCUAUUAAUAUCAACGAAAGUCCCUCAAUCCUUUGGACUAUAAAUAAGAUGAAAAUGUUGGAUGAUUAAAUUCCCUUGGACUAUAAACAAAAAAAGUCCUUUAAUAUAAACAAAAGUUCCUCAGUCAUGUAAUUUGGUUUGUAUGUUAUAAAGACUUGUAAAACAUAUCAUAAUGUUAUAUUGUUUGUUCUUUUAAGUUCAUAAUGUAUGUUACGAUUCUUCAAGCUGGAUUUGGAAUUUUAUGUUCAUGAGGGUUGUGAUUUAAAUCUGUUUAUUGGUUUAAUAAUAAUAAAAAAAAAUCCCUUGAGAUCUACGAAAAUGUCUGUUCGACUAUGAACAAGAAAAGUCCCUUUAAGAUAAAUGAAAGUCUCUCAACCAUUUGGACUAUAAACAAGAAGGGAAUGUUGGAAGAAAAAAGUCCCUUGAUAUCAACGAUAGUCCCUCAAUCCCUUUAGACUAUAAACAAAAAAAGUCCCUUAAGAUCAACGAAACUCCCCCAGUCCCUUGGACUAUAAACUAGAUAUGAAUGUUGGAAGAGAAAAGACUCUUAAGAUCAACAAAAGUUAUUUAAGAUCAUCGAAAGUCUCUCAGUCCCUUGGACUAUAAACAAUAUGAGAAUGUUGGAAGAGAAAGUCCUUUGCACCAUAAACAAGAAAAGUCCCUUAAAAUCAACAAAAGUCCCUCAGUCUCUUGGACUAUAAAUGAGGUGGGAAAGUUGGAAGAGAAAAGUUCCUUAAGAUGAACAAAAGUUCUUUUAGAUCAACGAAAGUCCUUUAAUCCCUUGGACUAUAAAGAAGAUGAGAAUGUUAGAAGAGAAAAAUCCCUUGGAGUAUAAACAAGAAAAGUCUAUUACGAACAACGGAAGUCCCUCAGUCCCUUGGACUAUAAACAAGAAAAGUCCUUUAAGAUCAACGAAAGUCCCUCAGUCCCUUGGACUAUAAACAAAAUGAGAAUGUUGGAAAAGAAAAGUCCCUCAUAAUCUUCAAAAGUUUCUUAAUAUCAAUGAAAGUCCAUGAGUCCCUUGGACUUUAAACAAGAUGGGAAUGUUGGUAGAGAAAUUUUUCUGGAUUUCCAUAUCUCCAACAAACUUUGUAUGUUAUUGUACUUUCAGUGGUGUUUCUUCUGCUGCACAAAGAUUAAAGCAGGAUACCGACGGUAAGUUUAGAAGAUUCUUGUUUUUAUUUUUUGCAGAAGAAUUAUGUCACAGUUUCUUGAGUUUUGAUAUCGCAAAAUAAGAUGCAGGUUUGAAUGGGAGGACAAGCAAUGGAUUAGUGUGUGACCUAUGUGUGGUAUGCGAGGACCAGGAGUACAACAUGGCAUUUGUCGUGUAAGCACCUUGACGACUCUUUCCUUAUGAUUUUAAUAGGUUUGUAUGUAGUAUGAAAUAUAUGACCCAAAUAGCAACAUUAAGAGACUAUCCUGGAGAAGUAGGGGGAGGACAUUCUGUUUGAGUCUUUUGUGUAUCUUUAAAGGCAUGUUGAGAGCCCGAAAUUGUUGGGAAUUAUUUUCCAAAAUACUAUUAAAUAAAAAUUGGACAUUUCUUAUUUGUUUUUAGGACGAAGAUCAAACUUGAAACUGAACUCCAAUUUAGUUUUGCCAAUUUCCCUCAGUCGUGAUAUUUAUGUGUACAAAACAGUAAAGUUUGAAUGCUACGUGAUCACUAUUAUAUGCUAAACAGUAGUGGGUGUUAAAAGAAAGUUAUCUGAUGCUAAAUGAUUACAUGAUAUUAUGGAGUAGACUCGAAGUGCAAAAGUAACUGCGUUCAAAGCAACAAAUGUUCUAUAACGACUAUUAACUUGAUUUGGGCAAUUUCUUUUUCCUAUCCUAUUUUUUCCUUUGUAAGCUUUAGCUUGGGUAUCCAUUUCUGUUAAACUUUGUUUUUGGUUUCUAAUAUUGCAGAUAUAUGGACAUACUAAGAAAAGACACUAGAAGGAAAUGGUAGAUGAAAGAAAUUGUUUUUAAAGAGACAGAAGAAAUAGAGAUUAAAGAAAGGGAGUUCUAGAACCAUAACUAAGGCCAGUGUAACCAGUAGUAAGAAUCGAAGAAAUGCAUUGUUAUCACUUCUAGCUAUUCGAGACAAAUCUAACUGAAGGAAAACAUGGAGUGCGAGAAGAAACUGGAUUGAAUAUUCUGAUGGUGUUUUGAGGCCUUUCGAAGAGGAAGAGCCGAAGAAAUGCACUGUUAUCACUUCAAGCUAUUCGAAACAAGAAAAAAGAAUCUGCAUUCAACAAAAGAACUCCGUAAACGAGUUUCAUAACCAAGGUGAGUAAUGUGUCCCUUUAUGUUAUAUGAAUUAUGAUAAUAUACGAGUAAUUUGUAUUGCAUACUUGAUAUUUCUUACAAAGGGCAUGCAGAUUACUAUUAUGUGGCUUCGUAUUAUUUCUUACAUAGUAGAGAUUUUAAAAGCAAUUAAAUCAAAUUAUUAUUGAUAAUAAAUUGAAGUUUACUGAAUAGGACUACAUGGUCAUGUGUGUUGAGAAUAAAUUUGACGUUUAGCAUAGUAUGCAUAAUUAGCUGGCGUAGCUCAGUUGGUUAGAGCAUGUGGCUUUAAAAUCACAAGGUCGAAGGUUCAAACCCUUCCUCGCAUCUACAUUUUCUUAGUAUAUAUAGUUUGAUAUUCAACUCUUCUGGUAGGCAUAUGCGAGGUCUGAACCCUGUUGGACUUGAGAUUGAGAUAUGCUACACAACGACAACGCCUUUAAGGAUACCAAUUGGUUUUACGAGAUUGUUUCUUAAUGACAUUAAGAUUCAUCUUUGAUUUUUAAAAGUUUAGUUUUUAUCUCUUAAUUUCCAGGAAUAAACAUAACAGCAUCAACAAGUUCAUAUUUUUUGUUCUUACAAAUAUUUUUGAAAAGGUUAAAGCAGAGAUAUUAUUAUCUUCAAAUUUUAAACUAUAUUUUUCCUUACAAAUGUUUAGAUAAUUGUUUGACAAAUAUACAAGUCCAAGACAUAUGUUUUGUCUUUGGUCAUUAGGACAUGAGCUUGCUGCAUCUUAAAACAACUUAACAUGUAACAGUUUCCCUCAUAGAGUCUGGCCUGUGUAGGAUGUUUGAACCUGUCUAGCCGAUUUAGCAGGGGCUUUGUUGAGUAGGACAUGAGAUUGAUAUAUCUUAGAACAAUUUACUAGAUAAGUUAUUCCCUGAUAAAGUCUGGCCUACAUCAGAUUUUAUGAACUUGAACAUGCCUUCCCAAUUUGCAGUAUUGAUUUGAGCUAUGCUUGCCAACCUAGCACAUUAGCCGAUGGAUACUUUUUCAAUAAAAUCUCAAAUGAUGCUUUUAUAUAGUUACCAAUUGGUUUUACGAGAAAAUGAAGCUAAGAAUGAUGAUCACUACUACUACAAUGUAUAACAACAAUCAUUUUUAGCUUCAUUUUCAAUUAAAUUGUUUGAAUUUGUACUGAAAUUGUGUGUUCAUUUUAACUUAAAAUGUGUGCUAUUAAUGAUCGUAGAGUGCCAGUUUGAAGGGUAUUUUGAAUCGAUUUGAAAGCGAUCACAGCUACGAGGUAAUUUUUUUUUUCUUCCUUGAACAUUUUAGUCUAUGUAUUCAGCUAUGUUUUUGUGCGUGUACUCUCACCGUUUAAGACUAGAAACAUUAUAUUUUUGUUAGACUCCAAUAUCUCUUUAACUUUUUGCUGCAAUAUGCUAGUAUUUGUUAUUAACCUCAAUCAUGCCUUUGCAGUGUUAAUGAUAUACGACCUAAUCAUUGUAAUAUAGGUUGUUGCUUGAUUGUUGUUGGUGUGAAUAGUAUACGAUUUGUAAUGGAUUUGGUGACACUGGUAGGCCGAGAUCAAUAGAUAUAGUUUUGUCUGAGUUUAAUUGCACAUUGUCCACCCUUUAGAUUAGUGUGCCUACUAGAUCCAUUCUCAUAUUUGUCGGGUCGAAUCUUAUACUUACUAUUAAACAUGUAAGCCAUCCCUAAAUAAGCAUCCUAACCUGUCAGAACAGGGUUUCCAACAGAAGACCCAUCUGAGUUCAGAUGUUUUAUAUUGUCAUGUGACUAACCAGGUCUGUCAUUGUUUUAAAAGCAAAAUCAAUCUUACGUGUACAAUUUUAAGCAUGUAUACGAGUAUGUUGAUCAUGUAUGUGUCCAGUCGUAAGGCAACAUGCAUGGCAUUUUGUCUGUGGAGUUCACUCAUUUAAGCAAUUUCCAGCUUUUGCUCCUAGAUAAGCAUUCUGGGUAUGUUUAUGACUUAUGCAUAUGCAUGGGGUACAUAUAAGCAUGGAGAUUAUGUUAGGCUAUUCAAUCUAACUGAGGAAGCCAUUCACAAAAAGUCUGAUGGAGGGGUAGAUAUUGUUUUCUUCUAGAAUUUUGUUUUACAAUCGAGGCUCAAUGUUACAGGCUUGUUUCUUUGCUGAAAGUUGAUAUUGAUCUGUGGUAAUUGAGAUUAAUGGAACAGAUGUGUCGAAUUGUUUCUCAUAUUAGGUCAAACCUCAGUGAUUCAAAAACAAUGUCAGAGAAGGGGGGAUAUGGAAGGGCCUUCAGGCAUAAACAAUGAUAUUGAAGUCACUAAAGAAGGUGAAGCUAUAAAAGAAUACUUUGCUUUGCUAGCUUCUAUAGGAAAUAAUUAGAAACUUCUCAAUAGGGUGAAAAACGGGAACUCACUUGCAAAUGAUUUUUUGUUUUUGUAAAUAUAAUGUGCAUCUCACAUCAUUUUAGCAAUUAGUUGAAAAUUAAACAAUCAGUUUUGGUUAUGUUUAGGCACGACCAAUGGUGUGAAAAUUUCAAACUGUCUACUUCUUUUGGUGGCAUUUACAGGUUUGCAUCAAGGAGGAAUGGCUCAGUUGUUGAUCACUUCAAUGUGGCUGACAGAACUGUGAACUGGAACUUGAAUCUCAGGAGAGAACCCAGAGAUUGGGAGGUGUAGCAAAUUCAGCAACUUACACAGCUACUGCAGUAGCAUAAAUAGGAGAUAGAGACGACCAGUGGUGGUGGACGUUGGAGGAGAAAUGUAUUUUAUCAGUUUCCAGCUUUGCAGAGUUCAUUUAGAAAGAAAAUAGACUGGUACAUGGUACUAUUCUUCAUGAUUUCCCCCAUAAGCUUGCCUGGCCCAUUAAGCUUCCACCCAAAAUUAAAUUCUUUGUAUGGAUCGUACUCCAAAGAAGACUACAAAACCCGGAAAUAGAUAGUUUUUGAGAACAAAUAUUUCGACAUGGGCAGGAUAUGCAAUAGAAUCAAAGGUACUCUAUGGUUUUGGUUAGGUGGUGAAGCAAGAAACAAGGGAUGCCAUUUUGUGAGUCUGAUUACGGACUGGAGUUCGUUGGUGACUCUUUAGAUUGAUGCCUUCAUGUGAACUUACGCUCUAUGGAGGCGAAACAAGGAUGAGUGAUCUGAAAUGAAGGUGGAGACAAGUUUUAGCAAAGGCUCUGGCCUGUAUUGUAUGUCCAUUGUGUGUCAAUGUACUGUGUGAAACUCUUAUUCACACUGAUCUUGUAUCUUUACCUGACGCUACAUUGUAGGCUGAUCAGGAAUGUAACCUCUUGGGACAUCAAUAAAUUUCAACUUACCCCCAAAAAAUGUCAGUUUUUGUUAUGUUUAUAUCGCUCUUCUUUAAGAGAACUGCUAUAUUUUUAACAAUAAAUUUGUCCAGAAU